Molecule: long non-coding RNA, 4823 nt
Organism: Pecten maximus
Lineage: Eukaryota; Metazoa; Mollusca; Bivalvia; Pectinida; Pectinidae
Exons: 5
Source: RefSeq, a predicted model, not a curated record
UAAGGCAGGUUUGACUGUAGUUAUAAUUUAAACUGACUUUUACAUAUUCAGACACAAAGAGUUUGUGUCUCUGUCACAUACAUAUUCAAAAUACUUAAUUAUUCAAAAUACUUAAUUGGAGAGUUAUACAUAUAUUCUACACAUUUUGAUAAAAUUUAUGCUCAAAUUAUAACUCAACAGCCCAGGCAAUUGUUAAAAAUCAAUUUUGGAACAGUACUUUCUGAAUUAUUUCUAAAAGUGACAUGUUCGUUAUUCAGACACAAAGUGUUAAGUGUCUUUGUCACAUAAAAUGUCGAACUUCUUAUUUGUUGAAAUGAAGAAGUUAUUUUUAGGACAUGUACAUGUAGCGAAUGAUUUAUCGUACAGAUCAUAUUUAACUAUUCGGUUAAGCUGUAGGUACAUCUCACCUAGUGAUUCACACAAACUUGGCUUUGAUGGAAUAUGUUCUUGUCCAGUAUACAUGUAUUGCAAACAUAUAGUCGCAACAAUAUUUUUGACAUUUUUCUAAAAAGAAAUUUAAGAGUCUCGCAAUGAAUAAUUUAAUUUCUUUUGGUGGGUUAUUUUCCUCUACAUUCUUAAAUUCUAUGGAUAUAUGGAUCCACUUUGGUAAAUGUUACAAUUUUUAAAAAUUCAAAGAACCCUCUCAAAAUUUUCAUAAUAUAGGAUGCAGGAAAUGCUUGAUCACCAAUGAGAUAAUUAUAAUUUAUUUCAAAUAUCAAAUAAAAAUAUAUAUCACCAACUGAGGACUAUUCUCAUGACUAAGACAGUAAAGGAACUGGUAGCAUUGGUAUCUCAUCUUAUAUUAAUUAUUUGAUAAUUAUCUUUUCAGGAAUAACAAAGUGAAACUGGUAUUUUUUUUUCAGCUGGUUGACACUGCAGGUAAACUAAGUACUGCAGAGCGAAAAAGAAAAGAUGCGAAAGAUCGGCGAUAGCGUCUCAAAGAAAAUACGGAAAAGUAUAAAGAGCAUAGACUUGAGGAAACCAUACGGUUACAAGAAUACAGAAACAACCUCAGCGAUGAACAAAAACAAAUCCAAAAAGAGCAGGCUAGGACAACAAAGACAUAGGAAUAAAAAGAAAGGAAAUACAACAUCCAAAGCACCAGUAAACAAAACACAAGCCAGUAAGGAAGUGCAAAAAUGGAGAGAAGAAAAACGUUUGCAGAGGAUGAAUGUCUCAUCAGAAAAAGAGAAGAAUUAAUGAACGUCCCAGAAAAAUAUAUCAUGAAAAGAAACAACCUAAAUCUUCAGAAAAGGAGGAAGAAAUAGAUCCAGUGGAUAAUGAAUCAAUAAUGACUACAAGAGUGCUACCGAAAAAACCAAAAAAGUACGCCGAAGUGCUAACUCAACUUUACAGAAGAAAAAAAACAGGCCUUUGGUUUAGAUGUCACAGAGAAGAAAAAGAAUACAACAACAUUGAUUGUAAAAGAGAAGCUUAUGGAACUGUGUAACCGCCGGAAAGAAAAGGACAACCGAAUUAGAAGAAUAAUUCAUGCCUCUCUUGCUGCAAAAGGCCACACAAAAGGAAUUUGGACUAAGUAGGAAACUCUCCAAGCUAUCUGUAGAUCAGCUUGAAAAUGAGGGAAGAAAAACAUGAAGUGACUGUCUGCCGGAUGAUGAUGCGGUGAUGUCUGCCGGAUGAUGAUGCGGUGAUGUCUGCCGGAUGAUGAUGCGGUGAUGUCUGCCGGAUGAUGAUGCGGUGAUGUCUGCCGGAUGAUGAUGCGGUGAAACAGUGGCCCCUCGAGCUGUUGAUGUCCCUGUAAAUGACGCCCCUGUGGAUGGUGGUCAUGUAAAUGACGCCCCUGUGGAUGGUGCUCCUGUAAAUGACGCCCCUGUGGAUGGUGCCCCUGUGAAUGACGCCCCUGUGGAUGGCGGUCCUGUAAAUGACGCACCUGUGGAUGGCGGUCCUGUAAAUGACGCCCCUGUGGAUGGUGCUCCUGUAAAUGACGCCCCUGUGGAUGGUGUCCCAUAAAUGACACCCCUGUGGAUGGUGCUCCUGUAAAUGAUGCACCUGUGGAUUAUAGCUCCUGUAAAUGACUCCCCUGUGGAUGUGGUCCCAUAAAUGACGCCCCUGUGGAUGGUGCUCCUGUAAAUGACGCCCCUGUGGAUGGUGUCCCAUAAAUGACGCCCCUGUGGAUGGCGGUCCUGUAAAUGAUGCCCCUGUGGAUGGUGUCCCAUAAAUGACACCCUUGUGGAUGGUGCCCCUGUGGAUGGCGGUCCUGUAAAUGACGCCCCUGUGGAUGGUGCGCCUGUAAAUGACGCCCCUGUGGAUGGUGUCCCAUAAAUGACGCCCCUGUGGAUGGUGUCCCAUAAAUGACGCCCCUGUGGAUGGUGCUCCUGUGAAUGACGCCCCUGUGAAUGGUGCUGUUUUAGCUGUGAACACACAAAUUGGAGAUGAUUCACAUGAUGAUGCCCAUGAUCUGAGUGGACUUAGUAUAGACACAGAUGUCAUAAUGGAGGAGUUGAAUAAAUCAACCUCAGACUUCAAUAUCAGCUUGGAUCAAGGAGCUGCGUAAUGGAGCGGCCUUGCUUCAGUUCAUGCAGUCACAUCGGGAGUUUUAUUUCUGGCCAUCUGUUAAAGACUUCUCCUGGGAGCCACUUAAGAAUGUGGUGUCCAUAAUUUCUCCGCCUGUUUUUGUUGCUGAGAAAUCAACUACAAGGAGGCAGCUAUUUAAGCUAUGAGCUUUUGAAUAAAUUGAAGUUGAAACAUUUAUAAGUUGUUGUCUUUAACAUAAUCAGUUAGAAUAAUAUAAUUAUAUGGCCAUUUAUCAAUUUAUCUUACACCGUCAAUUUGAUAUUGGUGUCCAUGUUACGAACAAAUAAAGGGAAAUAAGACACUAUUUCUUGGCCUAGAUGCAUAAAUUGUUGUCAACUGAUGCAAUACAUAAAUAUUUAAGACAAAGACAUGUUUUCAAUCAAGUAUGCAUCUGCUUAAGUUAUUUUUCUACUUAUGGAAGUAAACAAUUUGGUUGUUGGAUUUGUUCGUGACGGUGUCCAGAUCUUCAACCUUACUUGUUUUUUUUUCAGUAUUAUUUUUCAGUUUGUAUUUUUUAUGUUUUAUGGUAUGCUCUUAUAUUGUCAUAAAUGUAAGGAAAACAAUUUAAUUUAUUCAGAAUAUAAAGUAACAUUUUCAAAUUGGACACCAAGUUAUGAACAUAAUAAUAGUCAACUUUUCAGGUCAUUUUUUUUGAAAACCAGUUUUUACAACUAUCUAUUUCCCUAUAUUUUCUCACAGCAUGGUAUGAUGGGUACAAAAUAAUGACAAUUAUAGACUAAUUGAACAAGUUUAAUUUUUCAUUCUCAUGUCACAUUUUGGCCGAGUACUGAAAUCUUACUUAUAUAUUCUAUCGUUUUUGAUAGCUUUAUUGUAUUUUACUUGUUAACAAUCGCGCAGAAAACAAAAGUAAAUUUGAGGCCGCCAUUUUGUUACCCAUGUAAACAACCCGGCAUAAACCGCUGAAUUCUCUGAAAUAGACCAUCCUAAUAAAUGAAUAUGCUUCUGGUACGUUAAAUAAUUCAUCAAUACAAUAUUUACAACGCUUAUUUCUUAAAAACGUGUCUUCGGUGUCAGUUCCUACAUAAGACUAUGCUGAACCAGCGAGUAAUAUCAACGUGUUUCACGAUGUUUAACAACGAUUUGAGUCGUCGCAAAAGAACGAAAUAAUAUUAUGUGCAUAUUGCAGUCGGAUAUGUAGACAUAAACUGGAAUGGCUAUUUGCAUUAAAAUAUAUUAGUUUUUUCGCUCGUAGCGAAUUGACUUGGUCGUCAUGAUUUGGGUCAGCAGGUUUGGUGUUUAUAGUGAAGAAUUAAACGAUCAGUUAUGUCAAGUUUUGAACAAAACCAGUUUGUGAAAACAAAGGAAAAUAUAUCUUACUUAUAUUACAGUAUCAUAAUUAAUGUUUGGAUUAUCAGAAUCACAAAUAUUUCGUUUCAAAAUUGUGAUAAUUUGCCAAUAUUAGCUUGGCGGCUAUCUUUUGGGAUCCCUAAUAGGGUACGUACCUGCAGCUUUCGCCCGAUGCUUAAAUCUUUGAUUUUAACAACAUUCAGUCAAAAAUUAAAGUAGACAGUUGAGUUAUGAGACAAUCCUAUGAAUGCCACUUGAGUUAAAUUCAGUCUGUUGUCCAAAAUAAAAUUAUGGUGCAGUACACUAGUAAGCGGUCAUAAAAAUGAUGGCCCAUGGUUUAGUAAAAUGACCCAUAAUUUCUGGUCUGAUGGGCCCAAUGACCAUAUAAAUGCAAAAUCACCUGAAGCUCUGAGAUCUAACAUUGUAUAAAUGGAGGGUGUAGGUCCCUUGGAGCUGGAGAGAGGGUGGCCUUAUAGGGGAAAUGUUUCAAAAAAUAAAAAUCCCCCCCCCCAAAAAAUUAAAUUCUGUCAAAAAGAAUUGCUGGUUUUGUCCAUAUUUCGUUUAAACCAUAGAUUAAUGUAACUUAUGAAUAGUUUUGCCAUGAUUACUGAAAUAUCCAGGUAAGCGAUGUAGGCCCUCUGGGCCUCUUGUUGUAAUUUGGCAUCAUAUAUUUGUGUAUAUGUAGAAUUUGUGUAUAUGUAGAAUGAAAACAAUUUGACCUGAUCCUUGGCAUUUUGCUAAUUUGGAGUAAAUUAAAGUCUUUGAUAUGCUUUAUGAUAAUAAUAACAAUAUACUUUUUGUACUGAAGAUAAACCUGAUUUAGCCUUUUAUAGUCCUCUAAAUCGUAAAUUUGUUGUAGGCAAUUGGAAUGCAGAAGUUUUGAGAUAGGGUCAAUUUCAAUAAUUAAAAAAAAAAACAGGAAAUAAGUGUUUAUACUUAAAAUAAAUGUUUAUUGUGAAAUCUUGUUAUUUUGUUGAUGA